This 1470-nucleotide long non-coding RNA is filed under the name Manihot esculenta (cassava). RNAcentral describes it as "long non-coding RNA (MESC_LNC000965)". Lineage: Eukaryota; Viridiplantae; Streptophyta; Magnoliopsida; Malpighiales; Euphorbiaceae. The record is from RNAcentral.
GUUGCUGGUGGAAAUAGUGGGAUUGGUGGUGGGAUUAGUGAGGGAGGAGUGAAAAUGGAGGGAGUGGUUAUCACCGAGUGGAAAGAUAUCCCUAUUGAGCUCUUGCUGCGAAUUGUUUCUCUUGUUGAUGAUCGGACCGUGAUAAUGGCUUCUGGGGUUUGCAGUGGGUGGAGGGAUGCUCUCUGCUUGGGCCUCACCCAUCUCUCUCUCUCCUGGUAUUGAUCUCUCGUCCUCUCUUAGCAGAUUUACUUCUAAUUCGUGGCUUAUGUCAUCUAUGAAUUCUUAGUCGUGUUGGUGAAUUAGGAUUCUGAAUUUAUAUACUUGUUUCAGGAUUUCUAAAACAUUCUUGUGUGCUCGUGUUCUUUAUGGACUGCUUCUUAGAUGCCCAGAAUUUGUUCUUCAUGGUAUUUCCUAAGUUUUUAUACUGGUUAUUAUUGGAUCAAAAUUUUAUACGCUUGAAUUUCUUGAGGUUCUAUUAGUUUUAUGCCAUAUUCAAUUCAUACAUCCCUUUUCUUCCAAUAUCCAUUAUUGCAGCCUUGAUACAUCUUUAAGCACCAUAUCAAUUCCUAAGAGUAGUUCUAUUUUCUUUUGGUGUCCUAUUAUAAAAUUUUUAUGGUUCUUUGGUAACAUGCAUCCCAUGGUAAGAAAGUAUUUAGAGUUAUGUGGAAGUACACCUUUUUCAAGCACAAAAGAUCAGGCUAAUCAUGCCAUUUUGUUGCGAUUGCUUCAGUCAUUCAUUGUGAUUUGUGUUAUACGCUUAUUCCUUUGAAGUCCUUAUGACCAAUACCAAAGCAACUCUCCUGGAUUCUGAGGUAAUAUGUGUUACGACUUGAAUUUGAAACUAAUUUGGGGAAAUUGAUUGCAAAUGGUAAUAGAUUAGAUGCCCGUGGCGUGUGCAAAAUUCAGUUUCAGACUAUAUGGUUGUUUGAUUGUUUGUGUUCAUUGAAUGAGUCUGUAGAAACAAGCAGGCAGUUAUAGGUUUGCUUGAAUGUCCUCAUAACUCCUAUAGAGAGGAAGGUGAGCUCUGUCAAGCCGUUAGAGAUGUCUUCAUGGGUUCUUAAGGUAUUUCUGAAAUAUAAUGUUGAGCCUUUUUGACAUCUUUGCUUUUUCCUUGGAAAUUAUUCAUGUUUCUCUGGUUAUAAUUAGGCUUUCUUCAAGGGCAGUGGCCAAAUAGCUACUUUGUGUUGUCAGUGAGAGGAUCAAACACCUGCUUCUACCUCUCAUGUACUUUCUGUGGGGGGAGGGGGGGGAGGAGGAAAAAAGUCGCAUAAGAGGCCUUAUUUUGAUAGUUAACCCUUUUUUUAAUUUUUCUUAAAUCAUUUUCGUUACAAGUGGCUCUAAAUGUAAAACAGCUUUCUUUGGGUGAGAGAGAUGUUAGAAAAAUGAUUUCCACCUUCUGCCUUCCCCAGUUCGAAGUUCCCUAAUAUCAUCUUAAUAAUUUUCGGUAUACUCUUUUUUUUUUUCAGGUGC